RNAcentral lists this ribosomal RNA (306 nucleotides) under uncultured Peredibacter sp. RNAcentral's name for it is "bacterial SSU rRNA". It matches the Rfam family "Bacterial small subunit ribosomal RNA", at positions 1033 to 1340 of the family's 1533-position model. Lineage: Bacteria; Pseudomonadati; Bdellovibrionota; Bacteriovoracia; Bacteriovoracales; Bacteriovoracaceae. The record is from RNAcentral.
GAGAGGUGCUGCAUGGCUGUCGUCAGCUCGUGUUGUGAAAUGUUGGGUUAAGUCUCGCAACGAGCGCAACCCCUAUCGUCUGUUGCCAGCAUUAAGUUGGGCACUCUGACGAGACUGCCUGGGUUAACCAGGAGGAAGGUGGGGAUGACGUCAAGUCCUCAUGGCCCUUAUGUCUAGGGCUACACACGUAAUACAAUGGCGCGUACAGAGGGAAGCGAACCAGCGAUGGGGAGCAGAUCUCAAAAAGCGCGCCUCAGUUCGGAUUGGAGUUUGCAACUCGACUCCAUGAAGUUGGAAUCGCUAGUA